GACGAACGCUGGCGGCGUGCUUAACACAUGCAAGUCGAACGGAAAGGCCCUGCUUUUGUGGGGUGCUCGAGUGGCGAACGGGUGAGUAACACGUGAGUAACCUGCCCUUGACUUUGGGAUAACUUCAGGAAACUGGGGCUAAUACCGGAUAGGAGCUCCUGCUGCAUGGUGGGGGUUGGAAAGUUUCGGCGGUUGGGGAUGGACUCACGGCUUAUCAGCUUGUUGGUGGGGUAGUGGCUUACCAAGGCUUUGACGGGUAGCCGGCCUGAGAGGGUGACCGGCCACAUUGGGACUGAGAUACGGCCCAGACUCCUACGGGAGGCAGCAGUGGGGAAUAUUGCACAAUGGGCGGAAGCCUGAUGCAGCAACGCCGCGUGCGGGAUGACGGCCUUCGGGUUGUAAACCGCUUUCGCCUGUGAUGAAGCGUGAGUGACGGUAAUGGGGAAAGAAGCACCGGCUAACUACGU
Molecule: ribosomal RNA, 467 nt
Filed under: uncultured bacterium
Lineage: Bacteria
Description: partial 16S ribosomal RNA
Rfam family: Bacterial small subunit ribosomal RNA
Source: RNAcentral